AGCAGAGUGGCCUAGUGGAUAGAGCACAGGCCUGGGAGUCAGAAGGACCUGGGUUCUAAUCCCAGCUCUGCCA
This 73-nucleotide transfer RNA is filed under the name Ornithorhynchus anatinus (platypus). It matches the Rfam family "tRNA". From Rfam's summary of the family: Transfer RNA (tRNA) molecules are approximately 80 nucleotides in length. Their secondary structure includes four short double-helical elements and three loops (D, anti-codon, and T loops). The record is from Rfam by way of RNAcentral. Lineage: Eukaryota; Metazoa; Chordata; Mammalia; Monotremata; Ornithorhynchidae.